This 468-nucleotide ribosomal RNA is filed under the name uncultured bacterium. RNAcentral's name for it is "partial 16S ribosomal RNA". It matches the Rfam family "Bacterial small subunit ribosomal RNA", at positions 28 to 507 of the family's 1533-position model. The record is from RNAcentral.
GACGAACGCUGGCGGCGUGCUUAACACAUGCCAGUCGAACGGAAAGGCCCUGCUUUUGUGGGGUGCUCGAGUGGCGAACGGGUGAGUAACACGUGAGUAACCUGCCCUUGACUUUGGGAUAACUUCAGGAAACUGGGGCUAAUACCGGAUAGGAGCUCCUGCUGCAUGGUGGGGGUUGGAAAGUUUCGGCGGUUGGGGAUGGACUCGCGGCUUAUCAGCUUGUUGGUGGGGUAGUGGCUUACCAAGGCUUUGACGGGUAGCCGGCCUGAGAGGGUGACCGGCCACAUUGGGACUGAGAUACGGCCCAGACUCCUACGGGAGGCAGCAGUGGGGAAUAUUGCACAAUGGGCGGAAGCCUGAUGCAGCAACGCCGCGUGCGGGAUGACGGCCUUCGGGUUGUAAACCGCUUUCGCUUGUGACGAAGCGUGAGUGACGGUAAUGGGUAAAGAAGCACCGGCUAACUACGUG